RNAcentral lists this ribosomal RNA (490 nucleotides) under uncultured bacterium. RNAcentral's name for it is "partial 16S ribosomal RNA". It matches the Rfam family "Bacterial small subunit ribosomal RNA", at positions 28 to 507 of the family's 1533-position model. The record is from RNAcentral.
GAUGAACGCUAGCGGCAGGCCUAAUACAUGCAAGUCGAACGGGAUCCAGAUCAAAGCUUGCUUUGGUCUGGUGAGAGUGGCGCACGGGUGCGUAACGCGUGAGCAACCUACCCUUGUCAGGGGGAUAGCCCGGCGAAAGUCGGAUUAAUACCGCAUGACAUCAUUGAGAGGCAUCUUUCGAUGAUCAAAGAUUUAUCGGACAAGGAUGGGCUCGCGUGACAUUAGCUAGUUGGUAAGGUAACGGCUUACCAAGGCUGCGAUGUCUAGGGGCUCUGAGAGGAGAAUCCCCCACACUGGUACUGAGACACGGACCAGACUCCUACGGGAGGCAGCAGUAAGGAAGAUUGGUCAAUGGACGGAAGUCUGAACCAGCCAUGCCGCGUGCAGGAGGACGGCCCUAUGGGUUGUAAACUGCUUUUAUACGGGAACAAACGUCGGUACGUGUACCGGUCUGAGUGUACCGUAAGAAUAAGAAUCGGCUAACUCCGUG